AAGCAAAACACCGCAGCCGCGGGGAGGGCGCGCGGGCGGCGGCAGGGGCCCCGCGACGCCUGCGUGCGGCCUGCCGCGCUCUCUGGCGGCGGGAGGCCGGCCGAGCGUCGCUGCCGCCGAUCGGUCUCGCACCUGCUGUCUGCGGCCCCAUCCCUGCAGGAGUGCCAGGACCCACGUGCGUGAGCUCGGAGGACAGGGUGGGCACUGAGUAGGAGCUCAGAGUGGAAGGAUGACUGCAGCACCCCAUCACCCCCACGAGGACAGAUGCUAACAAGUCCUGGUGUCUGGUCCUCAUGAACACCGUUCAGCACAUGGGAGGCUGCCUACCGGCCUUUAAGCCCCGGAGAGCGCGUGACAUACUGGAGAGGCCUGUAUGACGACGGUAAGGAAGACAUUAACCAAGAUCGAAAAGUUCCCAGGAGCAGAGGUUCCCAGGAGCCAACAUGUCACCAGUCAAAUACACUAAAUGGGUUACAAUUGUUUGAAGUUAUUUACAAAGGCGCGCAUGAUGUGUUAGCAAUCACAUAGCCUCACAAUUACUUAGGACGUUGUACUUCGGCAGCCAGCGGGCUUCCA
Zalophus californianus (California sea lion) is the source of this 576-nucleotide long non-coding RNA. RefSeq lists it as uncharacterized. Lineage: Eukaryota; Metazoa; Chordata; Mammalia; Carnivora; Otariidae. The transcript has 3 exons. The record is from RefSeq and is a predicted model, not a curated record.